GAGCUCUUCAUGGAGGGGAGCAGAGAAUUCAACUUUUUCAUUUGACAAGAUCAAGCUGAUAGUAGGAAAGCUCAAGUUUUCCAAUGGAAGUCUUAUACAUGUUAUUCCAGUAUACAGUUCAGUGCCUGGAUACUGAAACUUUUAUUGAAAAGCUCCAUGGUGACCCAGCCGUGUGCCUGCCAGCGAUCUUGCUGUCCCUUGGAGCUCCUUCCUGUCCUGCAGACGUGUCCAUCUUGCCCCGUCUUCCUCUGGUGCCCUUCUUGUCCUCAUUCCUGUAGCUGGCUCCUUGCCGUCUGACGAUCCACUGCAACAAAGCCUUCUGAAACAGCCUCUCACAGGGUGACAGGAACUGUGCGGAGAGGAUGUCUUCAAGAUGGCGACAUAGGUCAUUCCUGACUUCACUCCCCUCACAAGAACAAUGACUAAUAACUAUCCAUGAACAAGGUAGCAUCCUAGAACAUGGAGGUGAAGCAGAAGCAUCCCCUUUUACCACAGAGACCAAGAAAGACCACAGUAGAAAGGUAAGAGGAGCAGCUAUACAUUGACCAUAUUCCUCCUCCCCCCAAGCCCCCACAGAUUAACAUCAUAAAUACUCACUGGUAAUGGAAA
Molecule: long non-coding RNA, 609 nt
Organism: Neogale vison (American mink)
Lineage: Eukaryota; Metazoa; Chordata; Mammalia; Carnivora; Mustelidae
Exons: 4
Source: RefSeq, a predicted model, not a curated record